CCUACGGGGGGCAGCAGUGAGGAAUAUUGGUCAAUGGGCGCGAGCCUGAACCAGCCAAGUCGCGUGAGGGAAGACGGUCCUAUGGAUUGUAAACCUCUUUUGUCGGGGAGCAAAAGACGCCACGCGUGGCGUUCCGAGAGUACCCGAAGAAAAAGCAUCGGCUAACUCCGUGCCAGCAGCCGCGGUAAUACGGAGGAUGCGAGCGUUAGCCGGAUUUAUUGGGUUUAAAGGGUGCGCAGGCGGAAGAUCAAGUCAGCGGUAAAAUUGAGAGGCUCAACCUCUUCGAGCCAUUGAAACUGGUGUUCUUGAGUGAGUGAGAAGUAUGCGGAAUGCGUGGUGUAGCGGUGAAAUGCAUAGAUAUCACGCAGAACUCCGAUUGCGAAGGCAGCAUACCGGCGCUCAACUGACGCUCAUGCACGAAAGUGUGGGUAUCGAACAGGAUUAGAUACCCCUGUAGUC
This 459-nucleotide ribosomal RNA is filed under the name uncultured bacterium. Its description in RNAcentral is "partial 16S ribosomal RNA". It matches the Rfam family "Bacterial small subunit ribosomal RNA", at positions 338 to 795 of the family's 1533-position model. The record is from RNAcentral.